AAUUUCAGAACUCCGACCCGAACCUCCACGUGGUGCUGGCUGGACUACAAUUGUUGCCAAUCAUGGCCAACAAUUGUAUACCGACUGGGGCGG
This is a non-coding RNA of Anopheles funestus (African malaria mosquito), 93 nucleotides long. The record is from Rfam. Lineage: Eukaryota; Metazoa; Arthropoda; Insecta; Diptera; Culicidae.